GACGGAGGAUGCAAGCGUUAUCCGGAAUGAUUGGGCGUAAAGCGUCCGCAGGUGGCAGUUCAAGUCUGCUGUCAAAGACCGGGGCUUAACUUCGGAAAGGCAGUGGAAACUGAACAGCUAGAGUAUGGUAGGGGCAGAGGGAAUUCCCGGUGUAGCGGUGAAAUGCGUAGAUAUCGGGAAGAACACCAGUGGCGAAAGCGCUCUACUGGGCCAUAACUGACACUGAGGGACGAAAGCUAGGGGAGCGAAAGGG
RNAcentral lists this ribosomal RNA (253 nucleotides) under uncultured bacterium. Its description in RNAcentral is "partial 16S ribosomal RNA". It matches the Rfam family "Bacterial small subunit ribosomal RNA", at positions 524 to 776 of the family's 1533-position model. The record is from RNAcentral.